CUCUGAGCUGCUGCCACCUGCUGGGCUGGAGCUGGAGCUGGAGCUGCGAAUUCGGAGUCCCGGUUCCCUGUGCCACCUGGCGAGCUCAGCAAACUAAAAGUCUCUUUGUCUUCAUCGUUUCCGGCACUGAUGUGAGCACAUCAUAAGCACAAGACCUGGACACCUUUACAAUCAGAGGGCCUAGGACUGGAGCUCUGGAUCUGACCGGAGCAAAGAGGAAGCACGCAAAUCCGGACAUGACGACGAGGAGGCAGUAGAGACCCAUCCUCAACUGUUCUUGUCCUAGAGCCUCUUUCCCUACUUCUAAAUGAGUGGAAAGCCACCCACAAGCCCGUGAGUGAGGAUGCCCUUGGUAAACCCAGGUGAUCACACCCUGGGCAGGCCCUGCCCCACAGGGCCCCAUCCCGCUGCUCCCCAGCCUGUCCUCACCAACUGCCCAGGCAGGAGCAAAGCCCACGGGGAGGACCUGUGACCACAGGCAAGGACCACGGACCCCAGCCCCAGGGAUUUUGACCUCAAGAAAGGAAACAUCCACAAUUUACCCUCCAUCUGGUGAUCCAGCUGCAUCUGGGGUGGGUUUGGUCUCUGCUGGGACCAUGAGGUUCAGACCACCAAGAAAUAGCACUAGCACAGGUGAAAAUCAUGGGCAAACUUUAUUGGCAUAAAUCACAGGAAUUGAAAUGGGAAAAGCCAGCUUGGAAGUUUAC
Molecule: long non-coding RNA, 707 nt
Filed under: Homo sapiens (human)
Lineage: Eukaryota; Metazoa; Chordata; Mammalia; Primates; Hominidae
Description: non-protein coding PXN-AS1:4
Source: RNAcentral